This 72-nucleotide transfer RNA is filed under the name Camelus bactrianus (Bactrian camel). It matches the Rfam family "tRNA". From Rfam's summary of the family: Transfer RNA (tRNA) molecules are approximately 80 nucleotides in length. Lineage: Eukaryota; Metazoa; Chordata; Mammalia; Artiodactyla; Camelidae. RNAcentral also lists the same sequence under 2 other names. The record is from Rfam by way of RNAcentral.
GGAGGUAUAGUUUAGUGGCAGAGCGUGUGCUUAGCAUGCACGAGAUCCUGGGUCCAAUCCCCAGUAUCUCUG